GCCGCCGGCUCAGCGGGUCACGCGGCCCGGCCUCGCGCCGCCCCCAACCGUCACCCCGCCGCCCCCAACCGUCGCCGCCCGCCCGCGGGGCUGCAGCGUCCCCGGGGCUGCGCGGAGGGCGCUUCCCUCCCCCGCAUCCCUAGCAAGGGGGGGGAAGGGCCGGACGGGGGGGGUGUCCGGCGGGGAUCAGGUGCUGGCUGCGGAUCCCCGUGCCUGCUAAAUCCCUCUGCCUGAGGGGAGGCAGGUGGGAGCCUCCUGCUGCUGGCCUUGGGGGAAACGGUCAUCCAGCCCCUGCCCCGUUGAACCUCCCGAAAGGAUUUAUCCCCGCUGGCGGGCCCCACGGCCUUGCCGUGACGAAGCCCAGCCUGUGGCUAUUUCUAACCUACAAAUACGGAAAUUUUUCUCUCCAGAAGAGACCACAGCUCACGGCUAGCGAAUCUGUCUCCCUCUGCGCUCUCCUGCUGCUUGUUAGCUUGGAUUGAGCACUGUCCACAGAACUUCUCAUCAGCUCCCAGUACAGGCAGAGUGAAUUUGGAUCUCUCUGAAGAACCAGCCCAGAUUCAGGAUAUGUUUUUCUUCGUCCGAGUAAUAGUCAGGUCUUCAAGAUCAUUUUGUCGUUGUGUUGCUGCAACCAGUGCAGAUCCAAAUGCUGUGGCUACAAAGGCUUGUUACUUUCUUGCGCUGAAUCCUGCGAAUCCAAGAGCUACUUGGCAGUUUCCAAGGCAACCACCUGUGGAAUAA
Molecule: long non-coding RNA, 741 nt
Filed under: Apteryx haastii (Great spotted kiwi)
Lineage: Eukaryota; Metazoa; Chordata; Aves; Apterygiformes; Apterygidae
Description: lncRNA (ENSAHAG00000011625.1)
Source: RNAcentral